AGGCCUAACACAUGCAAGUCGAACGGUAACAGGAAGCAGCUUGCUGCUUUGCUGACGAGUGGCGGACGGGUGAGUAAUGUCUGGGAAACUGCCUGAUGGAGGGGGAUAACUACUGGAAACGGUGGCUAAUACCGCAUAACGUCGCAAGACCAAAGAGGGGGACCUUCGGGCCUCUUGCCAUCAGAUGUGCCCAGAUGGGAUUAGCUUGUUGGUGAGGUAACGGCUCACCAAGGCGACGAUCCCUAGCUGGUCUGAGAGGAUGACCAGCCACACUGGAACUGAGACACGGUCCAGACUCCUACGGGAGGCAGCAGUGGGGAAUAUUGCACAAUGGGCGCAAGCCUGAUGCAGCCAUGCCGCGUGUAUGAAGAAGGCCUUCGGGUUGUAAAGUACUUUCAGCGGGGAGGAAGGUGUUGUGGUUAAUAACCGCAGCAAUUGACGUUACCCGCAGAAGAAGCACCGGCUAACUCCGUGCCAGCAGCCGCGGUAAUACGGAGGGUGCAAGCGUUAAUCGGAAUUACUGGGCGUAAAGCGCACGCAGGCGGUCUGUCAAGUCGGAUGUGAAAUCCCCGGGCUCAACCUGGGAACUGCAUUCGAAACUGGCAGGCUUGAGUCUUGUAGAGGGGGGUAGAAUUCCAGGUGUAGCGGUGAAAUGCGUAGAGAUCUGGAGGAAUACCGGUGGCGAAGGCGGCCCCCUGGACAAAGACUGACGCUCAGGUGCGAAAGCGUGGGGAGCAAACAGGAUUAGAUACCCUGGUAGUCCACGCCGUAAACGAUGUCUACUUGGAGGUUGUGCCCUUGAGGCGUGGCUUCCGGAGCUAACGCGUUAAGUAGACCGCCUGGGGAGUACGGCCGCAAGGUUAAAACUCAAAUGAAUUGACGGGGGCCCGCACAAGCGGUGGAGCAUGUGGUUUAAUUCGAUGCAACGCGAAGAACCUUACCUGGUCUUGACAUCCACAGAAGAAUCCAGAGAUGGAUUUGUGCCUUCGGGAACUGUGAGACAGGUGCUGCAUGGCUGUCGUCAGCUCGUGUUGUGAAAUGUUGGGUUAAGUCCCGCAACGAGCGCAACCCUUAUCCUUUGUUGCCAGCGGUCCGGCCGGGAACUCAAAGGAGACUGCCAGUGAUAAACUGGAGGAAGGUGGGGAUGAC
This 1149-nucleotide ribosomal RNA is filed under the name Salmonella enterica. RNAcentral describes it as "bacterial SSU rRNA". It matches the Rfam family "Bacterial small subunit ribosomal RNA", at positions 44 to 1183 of the family's 1533-position model. The record is from RNAcentral. Lineage: Bacteria; Pseudomonadati; Pseudomonadota; Gammaproteobacteria; Enterobacterales; Enterobacteriaceae.